GCAGGGUACGCCGAAAACCUGAACACAGAGUAGGCA
Molecule: regulatory RNA element, 36 nt
Organism: Gillisia limnaea DSM 15749
Lineage: Bacteria; Pseudomonadati; Bacteroidota; Flavobacteriia; Flavobacteriales; Flavobacteriaceae
Rfam family: DUF805b RNA
About the family: Bacteroidetes, Chlorobi (1 example), Proteobacteria. Lineage (Flavobacteria)
Source: Rfam